AAUAGAUACCCGGGUAGUCCACGCCCUAAACGAUGCUCACUAGGUGUUGGGGAAGCGAUUCCUUGGUACCGUAGCUAACGCGUGAAGUGAGCCGCCUGGGGAGUACGGCCGCAAGGUUAAAACUCAAAGGAAUUGACGGGGACCCGCACAAGCGGUGGAUGAUGUGGAUUAAUUCGAUGCAACGCGAACAACCUUACCUACCCUUGACAUGUCCGGAAGCCUGCUGAAAGGCGGGGGUGCUCGAAAGAGAACCGGAACACAGGUGCUGCAUGGCUGUCGUCAGCUCGUGUCGUGAGAUGUUGGGUUAAGUCCCGCAACGAGCGCAACCCUUGUCCCUAGUUGCUACGCAAGGGCACUCUAGGGAGACUGCCGGUGACAAACCGGAGGAAGGUGGGGAUGACGUCAAGUCCUCAUGGCCCUUAUGGGUAGGGCUUCACACGUCAUACAAUGGACGGUACAGAGGGUUGCCAACCCGCGAGGGGAGCCAAUCCCAGAAAGCCGUUCGUAGUCCGGAUCGCAGUCUGCAACUCGACUGCGUGAAGUCGGAA
Molecule: ribosomal RNA, 548 nt
Filed under: uncultured bacterium
Lineage: Bacteria
Description: bacterial SSU rRNA
Rfam family: Bacterial small subunit ribosomal RNA
Source: RNAcentral